AUGUUAGGUAGGUUCCUUUUACAUAAAACAGAAAAUGAAGCUAUUUUAUUUUAUAUGUUGAGAAAAUCAAUUAGAACAAGAGGUAUCAGUGACCAGCAUCAGGACAAUUCCAAUAUGCAAGGACCACUGGUCUGUGUUUUUGUUCCAGUGCUGACUCACCAGCUGUGUGAUCUUGAGUAUGUCACAUAAACAUCGAGUUCCUACCAGGAUGUUACUUGUGCUUGCAUUCCGGUGGUGAUACCAGGAGAGACCGUUUUCCUUUCCUAUUCUGUAUUUUCCAGUUUUUAGAAAAUGAUCAUGAAUCACUUUUAAUGAUGGCAAAUAACCAAUAUGAAACUAUACAAAAUUCGUUCAUUCUCUUUAUAAGAAAAAGGUGCAAACCAGUAUGGACGUUUGGAAAUUAUUAUUCUGGUGAGGAAAUAAUUUUAAACAGAAUGUAAAGAUGUUUUUAUGUAUGUAUUUAGCUGCACCAGGUCUUCACUGUAGCAUAAAGGACGUUUUAGUUGAAGCAUGCGCACUCUUAAGUUGCGGCAUGUGGGAUGUAGUUCCUUCCCUGACCAGGGAUGGAUGGAUGCCAGAGGAAUAACAUGAAUCCAACAGGGAAACCCAAAUCAGGACCCUCUGCAUUGGGAGCGAGGAGUCUUAGCCAAUGGACCACCGGGGAAGUCCCCACAGAUGUUUUUUAUAUUGGAAAUUCCUCCUCUAUUGAGUUUUCAAAUAGGAAAGCCUUUUUAUGAGUCCUUUGCUCAAAAAAAGUACUUUUUUUUCCUUUCACAAUUAAUAAGUAUUGGGGAGUUGCUGUGAGUGUAUAUAACUAUCUUGUUUUUCAGUAUGAUAUAAAUUCAUGGAAUCGUAUUUUAUUCAACAGAUUAUAAUCUAUUAGCAUGAUUAUUUAUUUUGAUCCUCAAACUGUCCCAAAUCUGACCAGUGGGAGCCCCUUCAAGCUCUGUAUUUUUUGACACAUCCCCAUCAAAAGCCGUAUAGACAGAAUCUUCUUCAGGUGUUCAAAUGAAUAUCACCAGGAUACAAUGAGAAAAAUACAAAUCAGUUGUGAGUUAUAAAUGCCGAAGAAGAUGAAUAACCUGAAUCCAACAAAGAAUCCCAAAUCAAGACACAUUCUACAGAAUACUGUGAGAGAUCUUAAGUGUCAGUGUUUUUCAAAACUAGUCUUUCCAGUCAAAGAAAGACUAAAGAAUUGUUCUAGAUUGAAGGAAACUAGAGACAUGUGACAACUAAAUAUCACAUGUGGUUCUGAACUGGUGUCGAGACCAGCUCGACAAGCGGGGUUUCCGCAAGUGUGAUACGGCGAGAGAAUGAGAAACGAGACACUAGAAUUCAGAGAAAAGCGAGGAUCAGGGAACCAACACCGCUCCAAGGUGAAGGUCCCGAAACUGAAUCCAAGCAGCUUUAUUAGACUUCCAGCCGUGAAUGAAAGAAUGUGCAGGGAGUUAAAUUAUAACUCAUGUGGACUUCAGGGCCAAAGAACAAAAUGAUCAUUAACCAUUGAGUAAUUAGGAAACAGUAAUCAAUAACAAAUCAGUAACUAAGACUAAUAUUCUUAUCUAUAGAUUUUCCAUCAGAUACGUAAAACAUGUGGCUCUGAGACGCCAGUUGAGAAACAGUCUGGGGUCAGUUUUCCGACCCCAGGAUCAUAUCUUGUUUUCAAGAUUAUGAACUGUUCCCUCUGGACUUGUUCCAAGAGUCUCAUACCUUAUAGCAUCCAGUUUAUCAAUAAUUAUAAAUUUCUUUUGCGGCCCUUGCUGGGGCCUGCUUUUCUUUUAUUCUUCCUGUCUCCUACAAACUGGAUCCUUUUACUUUAAAGGAUAAAUUUGAACAGGUGAAACUUGAAUGGCAUCUGAAUGGCAUUAGAUCAUAGUAAUGUUUCAGUGUUAAUUUCCUGGCUUUGAUAGUUGUAUUAGGUUAUGAGAAGAAUGUCCUUGAUUGUAGGAAGUAUACUAAACAUCUAGAGGUGAGGAGGCAUUAUGUAGACAACUUAUUCUCAAAUAUUUCAGGAAAAGUAAUUUUUUUCUUCUGUUCUUGCAAGUUUGAGAUGGUUUCCAAAUAAAAAGUAAAAACCAGAAGU
Long non-coding RNA from Bos indicus x Bos taurus (hybrid cattle), 2083 nucleotides. The record is from Ensembl. Lineage: Eukaryota; Metazoa; Chordata; Mammalia; Artiodactyla; Bovidae.